CCUCUCACAGUUCAGCUGGUCAUAGUCACCCAGCCAAAUGUUCCCUUUGUCCAGCCUCCCUUGCAGCUGUGUCUGGUCACAUGUCCAACAUCAGCCAGUUAGGAUGUCAGUGGAGUCAUAGGUGGGAACUUCCACAUCAUCACUUUGAAGGCAAAGUUGCUAACUCUGACUGUCCCUUGCCCCCUCCUGCAGGCCGAAAUGCAGAUGUAGAUGAGGAAGCUUGGAUUCCUAAGCACUCACCUUGCUCAAUUCUGUUAGUGGAGAGUAAGGCAGUGCUCUGCUGAGUUAGGUUAAGGCGAUCAUGUCUGUCAGACUUUCACAGGUAUUCCACCUGGAAAGAUGCGGUGGGCAGGGGAACUCAGAGUAGAGAGAAAUCACACCAGAGUACAGGUCCACAGCUGUACACUGCCCUGUGAGUCCUGUGAGUUGAUCCUGUUUCCAUGAAAGAAUCUAAUCUUCUGCUGCACAUGACCACUGACUAGUAUGGAAGGAAGGACCAAAGAACUCCACUUAAAUAGAAUUUUGCUUCCCCUUCCUUACCUGUUUUUAAGGGCCAGAAACAGAAGAAAGGGAAAACCAGGUGAGAAGGAAGAAAAGCAAAAAAGAAAAACCACUCUCUGUCCCACUGUGGACAAUAAAGUUUCCUGUGUGUGGACAGAGACAAUGAAGUUGGUUUCAGGUCAACUGUGUCAAACUAGAUAUUUUUAUGUCUGAAAAUGACUGCAAAGUUUUACCAAAAAUAUCAUUUUAGGUGAGAUUCACUAGAGCAUUUUAGGCGAAGUCACUGGAAGAAAUAUUUUUCAUGUAUGAGCUCUAGAGUCUAGAUCAUUCAAUAAACUGGUUAAAACUCCCCAAACAAGAACAAAUUUCCCCACCUUGAAUGGGAAUUCCAGCUUAAUUCCUACCCUAAUUUGGCUGUGGUUUUCUGCCUUAUGGAAAAAAACAGUACACAGAAGGGAAAGAGAGAGUUUGGGUUGGUCGUGUGGGGAUUCCAGUGACCUAGGCUCUCAGGGCCUCGAGGAACUGAAGACAGAUCCGCAGUGGCACGCUGGUGCCGUUGCAGGACGCUGUGGAGGACGGGAAGGGCACCGCUCCUCUGCCACAGGUGCUGUGCCCGGGCCUGUGGGAUGAGCCCCACAGGGCUACCCCCUGGCCUUCUGUCCUUUGUUCACGUCUGCCCAGGACAGUUGGCAAAACAGCUGGUUGGUAAAAUUGGGCAGGAUGAACUGGGCAUGGUCAGCACACUCCUUGCUUGUCCUCCUGAGAGUCACCCAUGCCAUUUCCCCUCCAUGGUGGCCCCAGGGCCUCGGGGGCUCAGGGAUCCCCUGGACUGGAUGCCAACAGCAGGAGGUCCUGUCCCUCUGGUGUGAGCGUCCUGCAGCCGGGCCUUCCUCAGCACCGAAGGUGACGUUCUGGCUUCAUUCCAUGUGAGUGCUUUGUGUGUGUUACUUCUCAGAGCCCGUGGAGAGCAAAGGGUCGAUGUUCCUGAGCCCUGUGGGCCCAGCCAGGGUGCAGCUCUCUGUUGCUCUAGAUGGCAAAAACCAGAGCCAGAAGACACUGGAACCCAGAGAGGUGGGGAGGGCGCAGGAUUGAAGAUGCUGUGUGGUGACUGGGCACUCUGGCAGGAGCAAACUCCUACAGCCGCUUAUCCCAGACCCACACGUGGGGAAGAGUCAGACUGCAAUUGUCUGUGAGUGCUUAAGGAUGACCUGUAGGGAACAGCGCUGUACCAGGUGAAGACUUCCCGAAAGUAACUAACACUCCACGAGGUGUUUUACAGGGCUUGUGGGAGAGGCCAUCUGACACCCAAUACAUUUAGGGUCUAAUACAGUUGGAUGAACUGUCAACUUUUCUUCCUGCCAUGAAAACCGUAUUUUCCUAACAGGUUUCUACUCAGAUUCUUUCCAAUUUUACCCUUCUUGCUUUAUUGAUUCUGGAGUCUGGUGGAGAAGCUAAGAGACUAGAUUUAUUUAAAGGAACCGAUCAAUGAAAUCCAGCUGACCCACUUCAAAUCCAGUUGAAGAGCUGCAGCUCGUCAAGGAUGCAGUGUCCGGAAGAUAAUCACAGCCGGUGUAAAGAAUGGGGGCGCAGGGGGAGGCACUGCUCUCUUAGCUUUCCGUUCUGUGCUGUUUUCCUGUAGGGGUAGAAAAGCCUCAGUUCAGCACAGUCCUGGCCCAAACUGUCUCGCGAUGCUGUUUGCACAGGUUCCCGUCACAGUCCAGCUACCAGGACCAGACUGGCCGUGGGGAGUUGGGUUUGCCAUGUUGCGGGCUGUGUAUUUGCAAUAGGGCAGAUUGUGGUCUUAAUUGGGGUCACGUGGGUCUUUGGGGUGGCGCACCAAGGUCACUCCGUCCUUCCGUCUCACUUCUAUGGUUUCUCAUUAGCAUUUCGAAUGCCAAAGCGCAGCAAGCGUGGCCAGGCCAGACAGGGUAUUCCCUUCGGGACAAGCCGCGGGCUCGCAGCGCUCGCGCAGUAGAAGAUCCGAUCCAAGCUGUCAACAAUGAUUCCCCUCGAAGGCGUGGAGCUCUCCUCUCGGGAGGCGGAGGCGGAGCCGGGCAGAGCGCACGGAGCAGAGACGCUCGGAAGGACCAGGUCUGCGUGUCCAGCGCCGCCCAGCACUCACCUCCGGGACUUCAGGUACUGGCAGACAAGAUGGACGAGGAGCACGAGCGAGAGAACUGGAGAGAACUGGACCAGCGGGGGCAGCGCCCAGAGGGAGCACAGAGGAUGUCUCCCUCUGGGCAGAGAGGAGCCCGGGAGAGCCACACAUGCCAGGCCACGCACGUCUGGGUGCCUGUCAUGCACUGGCCUCUUCCAGGAGCCGGGAUUCCUGGUGCAAAUCCAACCGUGACCUUGGCCUGGUCUGGCUGAUGUCCCAGAGCAUCUGGUUGCUAUGGAGACCAUGGCUGCUGGGAGAAUGAGGGCCAUGACUUACAGACGUUGGGGUCACCUCGGGCUCCACCAGACCUGGCUGGUUCUCCACAGUGACAACAGUGACCGCACACCCCACGCCCGUCACCUCGCUGUGCACGAGCUGCCAUGGUCCUAACCCGCAGCCUAGUGGGGCUGGGCUCCCUUGUUUUGCUUUGGUUUGUUUUACCUUAAAUCCACUGCGCUGCCCAUGCAGCCUGUGUGCCCUGCACUUGCCCUUCCUCCUCCUGUGACUGCAGCCCGGUCCUCGGGCAGAGAGCAGUGCUACCUCCGCCAGAGCCACGCAGAAGGGCAAGGGGCCGCGAGGCCGGGUCCCUGAAGGACAGACAGGCGUGGCUGCCCAGGGAGCCCACGGCCGUGCUAGAAAGGACCCCAUGGCUGGGCAAAGCGGAAGCAACAGAUCCUCUGGCUGUGUGCCGUGCUGAGGACGGAUCCGGGCCUGGACAUGCUGGGUACACCCAGACCCUCGGAGCUCCCAGCCCGGGAUGAUUGUGGACCCAUUCGGUAAACGCAGACCUGGGCUGCCGAGUCUGUGUUGUGAGGAAGCCCUGAGGACGACGCAGCCGCGGCUCUCGGAGCCCAGGAAGCCUGUCUUCCCGCCUUCACGUCUCUGCAGCGCGUGUGGCCAUGGAACAAGGGGAUCGGACCUAAAGGACAUCAAAGCCGGGCGCCACCAGCAUACCUGCCUUCUGGAGCUGCGGAGGAGGUUCUAAUGAAGCCGGCACUGGGAGCCGAGACCCCCGUGGACACGGCAGUUCAAAGGGAAUAUUUCAACAAUGAUUACAUUUUGUAAAUCUUUUUAUGAAAGAGACAGCUUAUUUCCUGCUUUUUCAUGAAAAAUAGAUUCUAUCCAUGAAAGGGAGCCCGCGCCACGGAAGCUGCCCGGGAUCUGAGGUGCGGCAUGGAGAUUAAGGAGACAAGAACCCGACAAAAUCGCCCCAAGUGCCCGUGCCCUGGCUGGGACGGCUGCCGGAUGUGCGGGGCGGGGCCGGACAGCACGGCCCGAACCCCACGUUUGGGGUCUGCUCUCUGUGUUUUGAUUCCACCAAAGCCAAAGACUAUCAGGAGGCCAUUGGGCCACCUGUUCUAUCACACGAGAGCAAGAUGAAAGGUUCUAGUUACAGACUCGCUAAGUGGUGUAUUUUAAUGCCCCGAGAUGGGACAAACUCUUUUCCAUAUGGGAAGCUGGCCCAUAAAAGGCUGGCUCUGCUCGCAGACAUAAAGCGGGCUUUCUUAGGGCCAGAAACAGAGGAGUGGCCCGGCCCUUUCUAAGUUUGGAUUUUCACAUUAAAAUAAUCUUUUGCCUGGCAGGGAGGGAGUUGCAGAGGAUGGGGAAGGAAGGGAAUAUGAUUUCCUGGGGAGCUAUGAAAUGAGAAAAUGUAUGUUUUCUACACAUCGGAUUCCAAAUUUAAUUAAAUGCCUGUUGCCUAACAA
Heterocephalus glaber (naked mole-rat) is the source of this 4365-nucleotide non-coding RNA. The record is from RefSeq and is a predicted model, not a curated record. NCBI's taxonomy places the organism in Eukaryota, Metazoa, Chordata, Mammalia, Rodentia, Bathyergidae.